UACGGAGGGUGCGAGCGUUGUCCGGAAUCACUGGGCGUAAAGGGCGCGUAGGCGGCCUGAUAAGUAGGGGGUGAAAUCCUGCGGCUUAACCGCAGGGCUGCCUUCUAAACUGUCAGGCUAGAGCACAGUAGAGGCAGGUGGAAUUCCCGGUGUAGCGGUGGAAUGCGUAGAGAUCGGGAAGAACAUCAGUGGCGAAGGCGGCCUGCUGGGCUGUUGCUGACGCUGAGGCGCGACAGCGUGGGGAGCAAACAGG
RNAcentral lists this ribosomal RNA (253 nucleotides) under uncultured bacterium. Its description in RNAcentral is "partial 16S ribosomal RNA". It matches the Rfam family "Bacterial small subunit ribosomal RNA", at positions 524 to 776 of the family's 1533-position model. The record is from RNAcentral.